RNAcentral lists this ribosomal RNA (253 nucleotides) under uncultured bacterium. Its description in RNAcentral is "partial 16S ribosomal RNA". It matches the Rfam family "Bacterial small subunit ribosomal RNA", at positions 524 to 776 of the family's 1533-position model. The record is from RNAcentral.
UACGAAGGGGGCUAGCGUUGCUCGGAAUCACUGGGCGUAAAGGGUGCGUAGGCGGGUCUUUAAGUCAGGGGUGAAAUCCUGGAGCUCAACUCCAGAACUGCCUUUGAUACUGGGAAUCUCGAGUCCGGGAGAGGUGAGUGGAACUGCGAGUGUAGAGGUGAAAUUCGUAGAUAUUCGCAAGAACACCAGUGGCGAAGGCGGCUCACUGGCCCGGUACUGACGCUGAGGUGCGAAAGCGUGGGGAGCAAACAGG